This 492-nucleotide ribosomal RNA is filed under the name uncultured bacterium. RNAcentral describes it as "partial 16S ribosomal RNA". It matches the Rfam family "Bacterial small subunit ribosomal RNA", at positions 29 to 507 of the family's 1533-position model. The record is from RNAcentral.
AGUGAACGCUGGCGGUAGGCCUAACACAUGCAAGUCGAACGGCAGCACAGUAAGAGCUUGCUCUUACGGGUGGCGAGUGGCGGACGGGUGAGGAAUACAUCGGAAUCUACUUUUUCGUGGGGGAUAACGUAGGGAAACUUACGCUAAUACCGCAUACGACCUACGGGUGAAAGCAGGGGAUCUUCGGACCUUGCGCGAUCGAAUGAGCCGAUGUCGGAUUAGCUAGUUGGCGGGGUAAAGGCCCACCAAGGCGACGAUCCGUAGCUGGUCUGAGAGGCUGAUCAGCCACACUGGAACUGAGACACGGUCCAGACUCCUACGGGAGGCAGCAGUGGGGAAUAUUGGACAAUGGGCGCAAGCCUGAUCCAGCCAUACCGCGUGGGUGAAGAAGGCCUUCGGGUUGUAAAGCCCUUUUGUUGGGAAAGAAAAGCAGCAGGUUAAUACCCCGCUGUUCUGACGGUACCCAAAGAAUAAGCACCGGCUAACUUCGUG